UACAGAGGUCUCAAGCGUUGUUCGGAUUCAUUGGGCGUAAAGGGUGCGUAGGCGGCGCGGUAAGUCGGGUGUGAAAUCUCGGAGCUUAACUUCGAAACUGCAUUCGAUACUGCCGUGCUUGAGGACUGGAGAGGAGACUGGAAUUUACGGUGUAGCGGUGAAAUGCGUAGAUAUCUGGAGGAACACCGGUGGCGAAGGCGGCAUCCUGGACCGGUAUUGACGCUGAGGAGCGAAAGCCAGGGGAGCAAACGGG
Molecule: ribosomal RNA, 253 nt
Filed under: uncultured bacterium
Lineage: Bacteria
Description: partial 16S ribosomal RNA
Rfam family: Bacterial small subunit ribosomal RNA
Source: RNAcentral